GAUGAAGAACGUAGCGAAACGCGAUAAGUAAUGUGAAUUGCAGAAUCCAGUGAAUCAUCGAAUCUUUGAACGCACAUUGCGCCCGCCAGCAUUCUGGCGGGCAUGCCUGUUCGAGCGUCAUUUCAACCCUCGACCUCCCCUUGGGGAGGUCGGCGUUGGGGACCGGCAGCACACCGCCGGCCCUGAAAUGGAGUGGCGGCCCGUCCGCGGCGACCUCUGCGCAGUAAUACAGCUCGCACCGGGACCCCGACGCGGCCACGCCGUAAAACGCCCAACUUCUGAACGUUGACCUCGAAUCAGGUAGGACUACCCGCUGAACUUAAGCAUAUCAAUAAGCGGAGGA
This 343-nucleotide unclassified non-coding RNA is filed under the name soil metagenome. Its description in RNAcentral is "partial contains 5.8S ribosomal RNA, internal transcribed spacer 2, and large subunit ribosomal RNA". The stretch from base 1 to 120 matches the Rfam family "5.8S ribosomal RNA", at positions 35 to 154 of the family's 154-position model. The record is from RNAcentral.